This 89-nucleotide ribosomal RNA is filed under the name Bacillus sp. DNRA2. The record is from RNAcentral. Lineage: Bacteria; Bacillati; Bacillota; Bacilli; Caryophanales; Bacillaceae.
CCGUUCCCAUACCGAACACGGAAGUUAAGCUUCUCAGCGCCGAUGGUAGUUGGGGGCUCUCCCCCUGUGAGAGUAGGACGCUGCCGGGC